AAGGUCUUAGUAAACCUGCUGCGUAAGUGGACAUUUUUUGGAGAGAAUCGGUUCUUUACACAAGUGGUGCCAUUUAGUACAUAGCUCAAGGAAUCCUUUCCUUGAUUUCUCAACAAAUGCCCACUCUCACUAUUGUCUGUAUUUUUAAAAGCCAUUCAGUAUAAGAUCCAUGUGGUAUAUAUGUGUGUGUCCCUUUUGCUAUCCUUUAUUUUUUUUUCUUCAAUUUGAUGGAGAAGAUACCUCUGAGACUAAAGACUUAGUCGCAUACUCAGGCAUGUGUCUUCAAAACAUUGUCAGCAGUGGGCCUCACUUGGGGAUGAUUUUUUUGCCAGAGGAUAUGUGGCAGUGUCUAGAGAUUUCCAGUUGUUACGACUGGGAAGGUGGCACUGGCAUGUUGUUGGUAGAGGUCAGGGGCGCUGCUAACAUUCUGCAGCACCCAGGACAGCCCCCAGCCCCUCCCAGAGCAAAUAAUUUUCCAGCCCAACUGAGGUUGGGAAACCCAGUCCCACUGGCCUUCUAGAAUCUAUUUAAUUUCUAAGCAUCGCUCUCCAGAAUGAAGUAAUGGAAUGACAUGUUUUGUUUAAUGAUUAAGAAAUAGCUUACUGGCUGGUCUUUUGAGUUGCUUUGGAUAAAAUAGAAGAAAUUGAUACUACAGAUGCAUGGUCAAGGCUUCUGAACACUAACUCAAGAAGAGGCCAAUGUCCACAUGGUUUUAUGUAUACACACACACACACACACACACACACACACACACACACACACAUAUACAUAGAAAUAUAUUGAGGUUUAUUAGAAUGUGAAAUUCUUUCCUUUGGGAGGUGUGAUGGAAGCUUCAUUGCCAAAACCAUUUAAAACAAGCCCCGGAGUAUAAACUUCAUAUAACAAUAUUUGUCCAGCAAGGGGACAAACUAACUUAAUAGUCCUUUUCUGUCUUUAAUAUCUUGCGUGUUUCUGAUCACUUCUGAUGGUGCCAUUUCACCCUUUGCUUUAAUAUAGCUCAGUGUCAUCCAGAAAAUGCUUUGAGAUGUCAGGCUAGGCCCGUGUGAACAGCCAAAUGUCAAAAGAAAAUGCAUCAGUGUCUCUCUAAAUUCAUGGUGAUGACAUUACCAUAUGAAAAAAAUGGAAAGGGAAAUUCUGUCAGUGCAAACAAGACCGUAAAUGCAACAUACAUGACAUUAAAGAAAGGGGCCAGAGCACAUCCUAACAGACAGUUUGGAGGAGAGGAGAACUUCAUUUUGGUAAAUUCUACCAAAGUGGAAAUUAUGAGUCCAUCCCCCCUGGUUAUGAAAAUCCAUUAUACGAAUGUGGUUUUUAGAUUCUCAGGCACUUUGGGAGAUCGUAUAUAUUUGUCUUUCAAAGACUAUUCAUUAAAAUAUAUCUCAGCAAAAUGCACAUACCCACACAUAUGUUCCUGAUGGUUACCAGGAAAGGGCCAUGAGAAACAAUUGCCCCAAACUUCUCCAGCCAAGGAAGCAUAUAAUUUGUAGACAGUGGAAACUUUAGGGUGGCAAAAUGGGGUCUAAUGAGUAUUUUGGAUGAUUUGAGUGAUUUUUAGAACAUUCGAAUGGAACUUCCAGAGCUGAAACAAUUCACUUUUAAUUAAUUUAAAACUAUGAGUACUUUGGUAAUUGUGUGGACUUUGAAAAAUGUUAAUUUAUUGCAUUCACAUCCCGUUAACCUUAUUGAGACGGUUAAAGGCUGCCCUUUGCCACUGUAUUUUCUCUCUCACGUACAGGGGGAAUCAGCCAGCAGCCUCUCUUCAUUAGCUAUGUACACUUUUAAAACUGUUUUACUAGCAAAAGAAGUUGGGAAUGAAAAGGGAGAGAGAGUGGAAAUGUAAAAAUCUUGAUUAGAAAGUAUAAUUUAAUAGAACAUGUAUUGAACCAAAUGUAUUGAUUAAUGUAGAAGAUAUAGUACUUAUAUUGAUUCAAACCAGAGAUUUAGUACUAAAAGCUCUAAGCCAAAAAGCUGUUGCAGAUUGCUACAAAAGUCAGUUUAAUGCUGUCCUUGAGAAAGCCUUCACAAAGAAAUUCUUCUAAUGUUUGAGGACUAGGUAGAAUGCGGUAUAUGUCAGUUUGAUCCCGGAGGGUUUUAUUUUGUACUCUAAUAGCUGUUACGAGCCUACAUUAUAUCCAAGGAGUAAUUUUCCUUAGGGGUGCCCGGCUCGCUUUGUGUCAAUAUUCUAGCAUUUUAAGUCACGUACAGUAUAUGCUUCUGGGAACAGGGAAGGAGCCAGCCAGACUCAUAAUGGUCUGCAUUCAUUAAUAAAGGCAGAAGCUUCUGUCCCUCCAUUGCCCACUACAGGGAUGCCUCUUUGGCCUUCAGGGACCCGUACAGACACAUUUAAAGAAAGCUUUAUUUUGAGUGGGCAGGAGAUGAAAUGUAGGACUCGCAGGCAUUUCCUAAGUCAGCUAUAUGCCCGAGCACAGGGGUGACCUUAAUGGGUCAAAGAAGAAUGCAGGUCAAAAGACUUAUUAUCCAGCCUGUUGGAAACCAAUUGCUUUUGU
This 2507-nucleotide long non-coding RNA is filed under the name Sus scrofa (pig). Its description in RNAcentral is "lncRNA (ENSSSCG00055001222.1)". The record is from RNAcentral. Lineage: Eukaryota; Metazoa; Chordata; Mammalia; Artiodactyla; Suidae.